This is a small nucleolar RNA of Lathyrus oleraceus (garden pea), 108 nucleotides long. Lineage: Eukaryota; Viridiplantae; Streptophyta; Magnoliopsida; Fabales; Fabaceae. The record is from RefSeq and is a predicted model, not a curated record.
AGGCCAUGGUAUGGGCAGACUCUUAAUAGCUCUUUAUAUCUCUCCCAAGCUUCGAAAAGCGAUUCUCCUUGGUUUUUGAGCAAAUCUAGUUAUUUGGUUUUGAAGAAC